RNAcentral lists this ribosomal RNA (467 nucleotides) under uncultured bacterium. RNAcentral describes it as "partial 16S ribosomal RNA". It matches the Rfam family "Bacterial small subunit ribosomal RNA", at positions 29 to 507 of the family's 1533-position model. The record is from RNAcentral.
ACGAACGCUGGCGGCGUGCUUAACACAUGCAAGUUGAACGGAACGGCCCUGCUUUUGUGGGGUGCUCGAGUGGCGAACGGGUGAGUAACACGUGAGUAACCUCCCCUUUAUUUUGGGAUAACUUCCGGAAACUGGGGCUACUACCGGAUAGGAGCUUCUGCUGCAUCGUGGGGCUUUGAGAGUUUCUGCGGUUGGGGAUGGACUCGCAGCUUAUCAGCUUGUUGGUGGGCUAGUGGCUUACCAAGGCUUUGCGGGGUAGCCGGCCGGAGAGGAUGAACGACGACAUUAGGACUGAGGGACGCCGCAGAAUACUAUGGUAGGAAGGAGUAGAAAAUAUUACGCAAGGGGCGGAAGCGUGAUGAAGAGACGCCGAGAGCGGGAUGACGGCCUUCGGGUGGUAAACAGCUUUGGACUGUGACGAAGCGUGAGUGACGGUAAUGGGUAAAGAAGCACAGGAUAACUACGUG